CGAACAGUUAAAAGUUCAUGUGGUGAAUUGAGUUUAUAUAUUAUUAAUUGAUGGUGUAUUGAAUUGAAUAUGGAUUUUAAUUAAAAAAGAUUGGGAAUCAAAAAGGAGAAACAAAAGGGCAUGAAACUUUGUGCAAACAUCAGUCUAGUUUUUGAAAAAUUUUGUAAUCUGUGAACAACAAACCUAUACAUUUUCUAGGCUGUUUGUUUCUUUAUUAGUAAUAAUUAUUACCUAAUUAUUCCCUUUCCCACUAUAUAACACAAAGUACAACAAUGGUUUUCUAUUCUUUUUAUUUGUUGUUCUUGGAUAUAUAUAUAUAUAUAUAUACACACACACAUCAAUCGAACCACAUAAGUUUUUGUUUGUUUCCUUUUGUUCUCAGUAUUUUGCUUGCAGGAACUCCUGUAAUGAGAUAAUGAGUUUGGUGGGUUUAGGGUAUAGAGAAAUGUAACUGAUGAAUGUAAAAUUUAGUAUUUGUUUCUGAGAGAAAAAAAUUGGCAUGGAAGGGAGUGCAUUCAAUGGACUGAAGCUGAUGAGACAUGUGGAAGAUUGAAACUCCCAACAUUAUUAUUUUACUACUGAAAUGUCAACCACAUGGUCCCAACAUAUAAACAAUAAUUAAAAACACCAAAAUAAUUGAAGAAGAUAAGAAAUGAGAAGAGAAAGAGAUGUCAACCAUAGUCACUUGUGCAUUGUUAUGGGCAUCCAUUCAUGUAGCUUUUCAAUACAAUUGUUAGUCUGUUCACUUAAAUUUUAUGUAUCUUUAUCUUAUCUAAAAGUUAUGAAAUAGGUUUGAGUUAUACCAAAAUAAUUAGCACUCAAUUUGACUGCUUAAGGGUGAUCUGUAUUUUAUAUUCUAUAAUAUAUAUAAAUAUAUAUACAUUUAACCAUUGUAUUCUAAAUAUUUUAGAAAAAAAUAUAUUUUUUAAUUCUAUAACUGUUAUAUAUAUAUAUAUCUACUAACAUAUAUAAUCCAUAUAUUCGGAGUAACCACAAACAUUCUUCCAUGAAAUAUUAUAUAUAUAUAUACAUAUAUGAUUUUUGGGAUUAGAAAAUUCUAUUAGAAUAAGAACUUUUUUUGAGAUUAAAACAACUUUUUCUAAAAAGAAAAUGUUACUGUUAGGUUUAUUUGAGAUAUUUUAUUUCACAGUAUGAAAAUAAUAUAAAAUAUACAUGUGGAUGUGUAUAUUAAUUAUAUUUAUUUAUUAAACUAAAAUUAUAUUUUUUUAAUUAGUAAUUUAAUUAGAUAUGAUAAUGGUAAUAUUUAAUAUUUAUACACUAUAACUUAUCACAAUUGGGAUUUCAGAGUUAUCUCGACGCAGUUUGCUCAGCGGUUUUCAA
RNAcentral lists this long non-coding RNA (1341 nucleotides) under Ricinus communis (castor bean). RNAcentral's name for it is "long non-coding RNA (RCOM_LNC003525)". Lineage: Eukaryota; Viridiplantae; Streptophyta; Magnoliopsida; Malpighiales; Euphorbiaceae. The record is from RNAcentral.